RNAcentral lists this long non-coding RNA (11079 nucleotides) under Vigna radiata. RNAcentral's name for it is "long non-coding RNA (VRAD_LNC012969)". Lineage: Eukaryota; Viridiplantae; Streptophyta; Magnoliopsida; Fabales; Fabaceae. The record is from RNAcentral.
UGAAAAUUAUAUUUUUGAAAUUAUCUUAAAUUAUAACAUUAGGAGUAGGAUGACAACGGGUAAGGUCGAAUAAGGAUAGUGCUUUCUUGCAAUUCGAUCUAAAAAAAAUUCACCCACUACUUUACAGAUAUUCUCUUAAAAAAUAUCCGCGAGUAUUUUAAAACUCACGAAUACUUGAGAAUUUCUUCAUAUACCUGCAAAUAUUUAAAAAAUAUAUAUUUUAAUAAAUUAUUAACAUAAAAUUUAAAUAUAAUUAUAAUAUAUAUAUAUAUAUAUAUAUAUAUAUAUAAUAUAACAUACUAAAUUAAAUUAAAAUUAAAAUUCAACUUUAAUUAAAUUUAAUCUUAUAAAAUAUAAAUUAAUGUUAAUUUUAAUUAAAUUUAACUUAAUAAAAUAUAAAUAAUUUUUUUUUUCUUUUUUUUUGUGAGAAACAAAUAUUCGUGGGUACAGAUAGUGUAAUACCCGACCAUUUAUAAUUGGGUAUUAAAAUAUCCGCUACCUGCAGAGUGCAGAUAAUAAAUAUCCAUGGAUAUCAAUUAUCCGUCGCCGAUUUUAUCCGCAGAUAUCCAUAGCUGCGAAUUUUUUUGUCAUACAUAAUUAGGAGUUGUGCCUAAAUAGACAUAAGAAUAUUUUUAAAAUUAAUUAAGAUUGAGAUAAUAUGCGUAUUCCUUAUGUUAUCACGCCACCAUUAAUGGAUAAAAUUAAAAUAAUAAAAUAUAAUGACAUAAGCUAAGAAGAUAAAAGAAAAUAGUGUAUGUUGAGUUUUAAAAGAAUGACCUGAUUUGUGAUUUAUUUUUAGGUUUAAACCCUUUAGUUGUCCCCAUUUAUCUAGACUUUUUUCAUUUUGAUCUCCUUAAUCUUCAAUUGAGUCCUUAUAAAUGCUAAUUUGAAUCAAUUGAGCUCUUAUCCUUAAAUGUAGUUAACAUGGUUAAGUUUUUGCACAGGUGAGAGAAAGACGUGUUAAUUUCUUUAAGUUAGCAUGGUGAGAGUUGAAACGUGACAUGGUUUAUGCCUUUAUGCGUGGAAUUUGGUAGAAUGUAAUAAUAUAAUAUUAGGGAUUUCUGAAAAGGGACUUAGGGUUCAAUGAAAUUCAAUUUGGGAUUAAAAAUCUGAGAGGUGGUUGUAGAUCAGACGAAGGAAUGGAGAUUAAGUAGUGAAUUUCUGAAUGGGGUCUGGGAGUAGCAGUCAAGGUUGUUGCCAUAACUAACUCCAAGCAGAUCACAGUAUCUUUUGAAGAACCCGAGUGGUCCUCCAUCCUGCUAUCCUGUCCUUUAUCGCACUCCAGGCCUCCGUUGAUGAUGUUCGUCACAGUGUCGUAGCCCGAAAGCCUCUCGACGGCCACGUCGGCGACGGAGGGGUCCAUUGAGAGGUGAUGACGUCGUGGGAGGAACCCCAUGCCUAUGGUCCGUCUAGUGCACUAGGCCAUCCCCCGGUUGUUUCGUGAGACGUUUCCCCUACACUAAAUUGUUCAUGAAAAAAGGAAUCUUUUUGAAGGUCUUACGCUGAAACUUUCAUGCCUCCGAAAAAGGGAAUCUUUUUUAUCUUUUUGACGAAACACUGUAAACUCUUGUUGAAAAUUGUCCCCCUUAAGAUCAGGUUUCUCUUCAUUUGAGUCAUAAGGAAUAUCAAAAGGGUUUCGUCUAGGUUGUAGAAUAGAAGGAGUAGAUGCAGGAAUGAGUGGUAAUCCCAUGGCAACAAAGGAUUCAUCAGGAAAAUCAAAUGGAUUAUGCCUGGUUGUAGCAAUAGGCUGGCAAUAAGAUUUUGAAUGACAGAUUUAAUGGCAUUUAAUGGCAGAUUUACUUUCAUCUCUAAAUUUAUAUCCAGCUCUAAAUUUCCUAGAUCCAUGAGCUUCUUUUGGUUUUCCUCUACCCAUUUAAUGACAAAUUUACUUUCAUCUUCUUUGCCACAUGUAGCUUCUUCUUCCUCUUCUUCUGAAUCAUAAAUUCCAUCUUAAAAAUCCAUAUUAAUAAAAUUUAAAAAGUUGCUAAAUUUUAUGUAUUCAACUCUCACCAUGCCACGUCUUAAACAUUAAACACAUUAACCUCUCACAUGUGCACAAACUUAACUCUGUUAACAUAAUAAUAAAUGUCAACACUCAAUUUCGUCCAGAUGACUAUAAUAGAAUUAGUUUUUAUUUUUGUCUUAUUUUAAUUUAAUUUUAUUUGUUUUAUUAUUUUUAAUUUUUGUUUUACUAUUUAGUAUUUGAUUUAGUUUUUUUUUAUUAUUGGAUUUAAUUAAAAAAGGAAAAAAGAAAAGAAAAAAAAAGAAAACGAAAAAAAAAGAAAAAAAAGAAAAAAAGAAAAAGAUAAAAAAAGAAAAGAAAAAAAAGAAAGAAAGCGAAAAAAAAAGGAAAGAAAAGAAAAGGCAUGAAAUGUUUUGUCUUUUAUUAAAAAAAAAAAAGAAACAAUUUGGUUUGAAAAAGGCCGUGUGCAUAACGACAAGGAGACAAGGUAGUCUGGAGAGGCCAGGAUAGAGCGCGGUUUGGGGUCUUUGGCAGGCCAAAAUUUGUUUUCUGCAGAGAAAAAGGAUGGGGAAUUUGGUUAGGACAUUCCGUUCAAAAAGGGACAGAAAAAACGUUGCUAGGGGAGGCUGAUGAAAAGCAAAGAAAAAAGACUAAAACCGGAGGGGAUUGGAGAUCAUUGAAAAAAAGAAAAAGGAAGACUCGGUUUCAGAGGGAUGAGAGAAACUUUGCUUCAUCGAGGGCUAGUGGAUGAGGUUUUCUGGAGAUUCUAAUGCCGGCAUCAACUUCACUCUGUCUGUCGCAACUGCCACUGGAGAUACAAGCAAUAGCAUAUAAGGGCCGCGAGAGGUAAGCAACCCGCUCCCUCGCUCAUACUAUCACAUGUAAUGUUGGCUGUAUUAUGAUUUGUUGUAUUAUGAACUGUGUGUUAUAUUUACUUACGGUUAUUGAUCUGCCCGUGUAUGACCCCCCUCACUCUUCAUUCUCAAUGACCACCCUUACCCAACAUCACCACCAUCCCAUAUCCACUCCUUGAUUUCUCUUCGCCAUCAAAAUCGUUCUACUAUUAAGCAUCUCCAUUUUCGCUAUUCUUGUUACACCAUACUCAUAGGUCCUGCAUUUUUAAAGAAAGAAAACAGAAGAGACUAAACCAAAAAAUACGCUUCGCAUACUAGCCCAUUAUCCUCAUCAAUCUUCACUCAUACCCCUAUGGUCAUCUUUCUGCGAGAACAGAGCCAACCCAAUAAAAUCCCUCAACAUCACAACUUCAUAGACUCUUCAAUCUGCACCCAGAAAAGAAACAACAAAAAACACAAAAAAAAUAUUUCGUUUUCUUUAGAGUUUUAUUUUUUUAGGGGAAAUUAAACAUUUUGCAAAUCACAUCAAAUUCGCGUAUUUAAUUAAAGGUACUGCCUUAGGGCAGGCGUUAUGGGCUGCUAACACCUUCCCCACAUGUAACCGACUUCCGAAACCAGAAGUUGGUUUUAUAGACCUUGCCUUAUCUUUUAUGGUUUUUUCCAUAGUUUUCCAGAAUAAACUAUGGUGGCGAUUCCAAAGCUCAUUUCAAAACUCAUUUCUUUUUUUUUGGAUCGUCGUCCCGUCGCGAUUCCGGUUGCGACAGAUGACGACUCCAAAGCUCAUUUCUUUUUUUUUUUUAUCAUCGUCCCUUCGCGAUUCCGGUUGCGACACAUGGCGACUCCGCUGGGGACUCGAGAGUCAGACUAUUUAAUUAGAUGCGCGAAUUCAAUGUGGUUUUGCUUUAUGUUUUUCUUCCCUUUUUCUUCCCUGUUUGGCUAUAGUGAGAACCCUAGCUAGAGUCUGUCUCUUCAUUUGUCUCUCUACAUCUAGUUGAUUACUCGACUGUUGUGGAGAUGCUGUGGAGAGUGUCAUAGCUCUAGUGAUCAUUGACCUUUAUGUUUAGGGAACUAUCCUUGUGAGAUUGCAUAUACUUGACCCUGAAUCCGAAGCAAUGAACCUUUAUUAGGGCACGAAGGGAGAAGUGUGUAUCCCUGUAAUCCUCACGCUGUUUGUUCUCUUUGAAAAUAAUGACAUUACAUUUUCAUACCAUGCAUGUAUUUUGUUAGUCAUGUUAUAUUAUCAUGCAUCAUGUUCAUAUCUCAUUUAGUAACAUGCUGGUUUUAAGGGAAAUCACAGGUAUUCAUUUGAUUGCACACGGGAUGGACGUUGAUACAAGAUCCGGUGCCACACAGCAUAUUAACUCUGUCGUUUUAAGGAUGAAACCUAGCCUAAGGACCUUUGGUGGAAAUUUGACUGGGCUGAUAAACUUGGGUAAAAGACUCAACCAUAAAAAGGGAGACUUUCAAGAAGAAAUAUGGAAAUCUAUUGAGCUUAAUGGAAAUGGAAGUACAGUUGCCCGCCAUCACAACUCUUGCCCAAUAUUAUGACUCUCCACUAAGAUGUUUCACUUUUCGAGAUUUCCAGUUGACGCCGACCAUAGAAGAGUUUGAACAUAUCUUGGGUUUACCAUUAGAGGGUACCAUGCCAUAUCAGCAUUUGGAGCACCACGCUUCUAUACCUACCAUUGCCACCAUCAUGAAGUUACAUCCCAAAGAGCUUGAAGAUAGGAUGGUGACGAGGCAUCAAAUGCGUGGGUUGACAGAAGAAUAUCUAGAACAAUAUUUGCAACAUCUGGCUGAUAAGGAGGACUGGGAAACUUUCAUGGAUGUGCUAGCUCUUACUGUGUACGGCAUUGUGUUAUUCCCCAAAAUUGAAGACUUUGUGGACCCUAUUGCAAUAGACGUCUUUGUGGCAAGAAAGAUGAGGUCAGAAAAUCCUGUGACAGCGGUCCUUUCUGAUGUUUAUGGGACUAUGAGUUUCUGUCACGAGAGGAAGGGAAAGAAAAUUCUUUGUUGCCUGCCUGCGUUGCAUGCAUGGAUGACUGCACUCGUAUUUAAAGGGACAGUUAACGUUAGAAGUCCAUCUGAAAACUUGUCCCACCAAGGGCUCGAGGGCAAAGGAGGUAAUGAGUGGGCCCAAUUCUUUGCUGGUUUGAGCGAAGGGAAUAUAAAGUGGCGUCUUCCCUAGCUUGGAAUUAAACCGUCUAUACAGCAUUGUGGCAGGUUUCCCAAUGUGCCUCUCAUAGGUUCCCGAUACUGCAUCAAUUAUAACCCUCUUUUAGUUCAAAGACAAUUUGGUCAUCCUAUGAACUGGGCAUCUUCACCGGACUAUCUUGUCGCCCUAUUCAUUUACUAUGAAGAUGGGCAUUUCAUUGAAAUGUUGAGAAAGGUUAGAAGCGCUUGGGAGAGUGUUGUGAGGGCAGAAAAGGAUCAAAGGUUGGGAGUGGUGGACAACAAAGUUACUUAUCUUACAUGGAUCCUAGAAAGGGUAAAAGAAGUUAAACUCCCUUUCAGACCCAUCAGCGACCAACCUGCUAAUGAAGGACCUUCUCAAAACCAAGAGAGUGAAUAGAUGAAACAAUUAAAGGCAGAGAUGGAAAGGUUGAGGGAAAGAAAUGUUAGAUUGGAAAAAGAGCUGCAGAGUGCGCGUAAUGAUUUUGUUGAUGUAAGGAAUGAUAAGGAGGAAAAAACUCGCGCCUAUGAAGAAGUUCUUAGAAGUCAAAGGGUUGAAAGAGAUUAUACGUUCUGAUUGAAGCAAGAUCUCGCAACCACAAAUAAAGAGCUAGCAAUGAGGGUGAAAAAGAAAAAUGCGGCGUUGGAAGAAGGAAAGCAAUGGAAGCAUCUCUACGAAGAAGCCAAGAGAGAUAAGCGGGAGGCUCUGAAAAGAUUAAGAGAAGCACAAGUUCAGGUAGAAAAGGUGGGACACCAGAUGAAAGAAAUGGCUACUUCGUUUGAGGCCGAUAUGAACCGUGAACGCUGGAAGCUAGCGGAGGCAGAAAAGGAUCAUCGAGCCAUGAUGCAACAAAUAGAGAGUUAUAUUGAGGAGCAAGAAGAACGAUGAAGGUCAAUGAAGUUCAAAGAAAAGCAUCAGGCCUUAGUAAGACGAAUGGAGGACCACAUUGCAGAACAAGAACAAACUGUGAAACAUUGGAAAGAAAGUCCGGUGAAGGUGCCCCUUUCAUAGGAUGACCAAAUUGUCUUUGAACUAAAAGAGGGUUAUAAUUGAUGCAGUAUCUGGAACCUAUGAGAGGCACAUUGGGAAAGUUGCCACAAUGCUGUAUAGACGGUUUAAUUCCAAGCUAGGGAAGACACCACUUUAUAUUCCCUUCACUUAAACCAGCAAAGAAUUGGGCCCACUCAUUACCUCCUUUGCCCUCGAGCCCUUGGUGGGACAAGUUUUCAGAUGGACUUCUAACGUCAAUUGUCCCUUCAAAUAUGCGUGCAGUCAUCCAUGCAUACAACGCAGGCAGACAACAAAGAAUUUUUUUUCCCUUCCUCUUGUGGCAGAAACUCAUAGUCCCAUAAACAUCAGCAAGGACCGCUGUCAUAGGAUUCUCUGACCUCAUCUUUCUUGCCACAAAGACGUCUAUUGCAAUAGGGUCCACGAAGUCUUCAAUUUUGGGGAAUAACACAAUGUCGUACACAGUAAAAGCUAGCAUGUCCAUGAAAGUUUCCCAAUCCUCCUUAUCAGCCAGAUGUUGCUAAUAUUGUUCUAGAUAUUCUUGUGUCAACCCACGCAUUUGAUGCCUCGUCACCAUCCUAUCUUCAAGCUCUUUGGGAUGUAACUUCAUGAUGGUGGCAAUGGUAGGUAUAGAAACGUGGUGCUCCAAAUGCUGAUAUGGCGUGGUACCCUCUAAUGGUAAACCCAAGAUAUGUUCAAACUCUUCUAUGGUCGGCGCGGAAAUCUCGAAAAGUGAAGCAUCUUAGUGGAGAGUCAUAAUAUUGGGCAAGAGCUGUGAUGGCGGGCAACUGUACUUCCAUUUCCAUUAAGCUCAAUAGAUUUCCAUAUUUCUUCUUGAAAGUCUCCCUUUUUAUGGUUUUGAGUCUUUUACCCAAGUUUAUCAGCCCAGUCAAAUUUCCACCAAAGGUCCUUAGGCUAGGUUUCUUCCUUAAAACGGCAGAGUUAGUAUGCUGUGUGGCACUAGAUCUUGUAUCAACGUCCAUCCCGUGUGCAAUCAAAUGAAUACCUGUGAUUUCCCUUAAAACCAGCAUGUUACUAAACGAUAUAUGAACAUGAUGCAUGAUAAUAUAACAUGACUAACAAAAUACAUACAUGGUAUGAAAAUGUAAUGUCAUUAUUUUCAAAGAGAACAAACAGCGUGAGGAUUACAGGGAUAUACACUUCUCCCUUCGUGCCCUAAUAAAGGUUCAUUGCUUCGGAUUCAGGGUCAAGUAUAUGCAAUCUCACAAGGACAGUUCCCUAAACCUAAAGGUCAAUGGUCACUAGAGUUAUGGCCCUCUCCACAGCAUCUCCACAACAGUCGAGUAAUCAACUAGAUGUAGAGAGACAAAUGAAGAGAAUAGACUCUAGCUGGGGUUCUCACGAUAGCCAAACAAGAAGAAUAUCCCAAAUGACAUCGCUACACAACCCCUCUCUUUCCAGGCUACACUCAGACCCGGGUAUAGGGCCCAACUCAUGACAUGCAUAAAGUGUGUGUGUGAAGGGAGAACGCCAUGCACAUCCAAACCCUCACCUGCAAAACAACCAGAAAAAUCUCAGGCAGAUAUAAACAUGUUUUCUACCCUAGGGUUCAACAUACAACAAUUAUUGCAAUUAUUUCGAACAUAGAUAAAGAAAAGGGGAAGAAAAACAUAAAGCAAAACCACAUCGAAUUCGCGCAUCUAAUUAAAUGGCCCAACUCUCGAGUCCCUAGUGAAGUCGCCAUCUGUCGCAACCGAAAAUCGCGACGGGACAACGAUCCAAAAGAAACUUUUGGAAAAAUAGUUUUGGAAUCUCCACCAUAGUUUAUUCUGGAAAACUAGGGAAAAACCAUAAAAUGAUAAAACUUGGUCUACGAAAACCAGAUUUUAGGUUCGGGAGUCAGUUACGUGUAGGGAAGGUAUUAGCACCCUACAACGCCUGCCCGAAGGCAGUACCUUUAAUUAAAUACGGAAAUAAAGAUGUGGUUUGCAAAAUGUUUAACUAUCCCCAAAAAUAAAAUUCUAAAUAAACAAAAAUAUUUUUUAGUUUUUUGGGCCCGACAAGGAUUGACCUUGCUCCUACGUAUUCUCAUUAAAAAUGAGAAAUCAGGGUCACGUAGUUCUAGCUGAAAAGUUGUUUGUUGUUUGAAAAUGUGAAUGUUUUGUAUUUUGGGCAUUUUUAUGUAAAAAAAAGAAAGAAAAGUCUCAGCACGAGGACGAUGCGAGUGAGCACACACGUACCUAAACUUUUUAAAUGCUUUUGAUAUUUUUAUAAAAGGGAAAAAGAUCUUAGCGCGAGGCUAAUGCGGAUGAUCGCACACAUGCUUAAACCUUUAAAAUAUUUUUGAUAUUUUAUAAAAGGAAAAAAGGUCUUAGUACGAGACUGAUGCGAAUGAUCGCACACACACUUAAACCUUUAAAAUAUUUUUGAUAUUUAAUUAUUUUAUUGUUAUGUAUUAUAAAAAUACUUUAAAAUAGGUAAAUAAAAUAAAGUAGUAAUAAUAACCACUAAAAUAAAAACCAUAGGAUAUCUAAACAAAUUUUAUUUUUAAUAAUAAAUUGGGCUUGAGCCCAUAUUGGAAAGAGAGGUGAAGAUGGAGGAUAAGGGGUGAAGGAAAGUAGAAUAGGGGCUGCAAGGUAGAGAUGUUUUUUGUUUGACCCGUAUGGGCCCAAUUGACUACUGGUACGGUGCGAAAUAGUAAAACGGGGGUGUAGAAGGAAUAACAUAAAAAACUAAAGAAAAAAAAAUGAUAAAAUAGAAAAGUUAAAAUGGACCCCAGCCCAAUCCCCCUCUUCAGAAUUUUCCUAGGGUUUUCUCACCCCCCAAACUCUCUAGGAGGCUCUCAUUUGCAACACUCUAGCUUCUACUCAGAAACCUAAAGUCUCUCAUCUCUCCACUCUGCCAGCAAACCUAGGGUUUCUACUUCCACCGGCAGCCGCGAAUCACACCACCCCCAACCGGCCAGCCACCGCGCCGUCCCCUCUACUCCGUCAACGGAGUUUCCGGUGACAGCAAACGCUGCCAGAACCGCAGCGUCGGGCCACGACGUUCUCUCCCUCCCCCUCUCUCUCUGUUCGAUCUAGGGUUGGGGUUUCUUCUCAAAUGCGCUGGCGCCUCCUCCGACAUCCACGGCGCCACCACCGUCGAGGUUCGUCUCGCAUCAUCGCCGGCGACGCCAACCCUCACCGAAAGCGUCGAGCACGAACCCUCCUUCUUCUUUAAAUUCGAAACCGCUACCGUCAGAGUAGAUGGGCGUUGCCGCCGCCGUCGACCACCAGUAGCAGCCUUGAGGAUUGGUUUCCUCUCCGACCCUCCACUUCUUCGUUCGCCAUUUCACGUUACCUCAGCUCUCAACUUCGACUUGGUUACUCAACGAGACAGGGUUGCUUAACAGUGGUUUAAAGUUCCAGAUUUUGUGCUUGUGCUCCUGUGCAUGUGUUUGGCGACCUUGGGUUUCUGUUAUGGUAUGGUGCGUGUGUGUAUUUGGACCUGUGUGAGGAACAGAGGUGGGGAACGGAGGAAUUGGUGAAGCUUGGGAGUGUAAGGUUUGGGUUGGAGGAGAAUAGAAUGGUGAUUGGGGCUGGAAAUUAGUUUUGGUUCUUGGUGAUUGGUGCCUAUCUCUGUGACUUAGCGCCUUGCAGGUUGAGGGUGAUCGGGCCAUAUAAACUACACUCUGCUUUUGUCCAUUUCUAGCCUUUUGGUUAGAGUUUGAUAACUGGGUUCUGUAUCUCAAGUCUCUGCUUAUGCUAUGUCUAUUGAGAUGUAUUUAUCAUUGUGAACUAAACUGAUUGGAGUUAGCUCUCUCUUUCUUGCUUGGUGAAGAAGGACAGGGUAUGGGAUAUUUUCUUCUGGGUUGCAGGGAAGCUAGGAGCAAGGGGUGACAAAAAUGGCGAAAAUGUGGAAGCCAUCCAACAGCAAAAGAAAAUCAAAGAGUGAAUAUGGGAUGGUGGUGGUGGCGUCGUAAACGACUCAAGGAGGUUGGGUUAGUUUUUCUUUGCUUGGUUGUCAACUCCAUUGGACACAGGCGAGGAAACAGAGCAUGGGACAGUGUGGGAUAGUGAAUGGAGAACGGGAAGGAUUCAAGUCACAUGAUCAUACACAACAUGGUAGGUAAAAUUCUCUAUAACAGUCAUAACACCAAUGCAACAGUAAUAUGUUCAAGGACAAAAACAUGGAGUGCGAGGAGGCAUUACUUACCUCUUGAAGACUCGAUUGCCAACGCAUCCUUGCGUAUCCGAUGAGUCUCCUUCUCCUCCGACGCAGUUCCAAAUAUUGCUCUCACAGCUCCUUGAUUCUUGAUGCAGCGAGCAAUUUUUUUUUUGCUUAGUGUUCUCUUCGUAAAAAAUAAUGCUGAAAAUGCCACCCUCUUUUGUUAUCGUUCCCCCUGGCCAAAGCUCUCUCGACCCUUUUUUUGGUUCUCGCCUCAGCUUCCUGCUCCACUUCUCAGUAACCGUUUUCUCUGCUCUGUCAAAUUCCAAAAACGUCUCUGCUGCCAUGUUUCCUCAGACCACCUUAUCUCUUUGUCGUUAUGCACACAUCGCCACCACGCUUCAAGCUCCUUUUUUUUUUAUUUUUUUUUAUUUUUUUUUAAAGAAAAACUAACUUAAUUAUAUUAGCACAAAACUAAUAAUAAAAAUAAAACGAAACCCAAAAAAUGAAAAUUAUGAAACGAAAAAUAAAAAGAAAGAUAAGAUAAAAUAAAAUAAAAAUAAAAAGAAGGAAUAAAAAUAAGUAGAGGAAUAAAUAAAAUGAAAAUCAAGAUAAGAAAAUUUGGUAUUGACAAUAAAAGUUACAUGUCAUUAGAAAUUACACAUAUUUCCUAGUCCAUCAUUUAAUAAAUUUACGAAAUAAAGAUUAAAGCAAAAAUUAAAUUUCCAUAUCAAGCAAUUAACAACUAAUAAUCCUAACUAAUAAAAGGAUGAAUCUUUAAACGGAAUAAAAGUAUGAAUUAUACAAUUUUGGGUUCAUGGACUCAACCUCUUUGAAGUUCAGAAAGGCAAAAUAUUCCCAGAAUAACAAUGAAAAAGAACAAUUUGACCUCUUUUUGUCUUUACAGCAAUUCUUUAUUUCGGGGCCCAAUGGCAUUGGAUCUGAGAUAAACAAAUUAUUCUAUAAAAAGC